Molecule: transfer RNA, 88 nt
Filed under: Porphyromonas sp. COT-239 OH1446
Lineage: Bacteria; Pseudomonadati; Bacteroidota; Bacteroidia; Bacteroidales; Porphyromonadaceae
Rfam family: tRNA
About the family: Transfer RNA (tRNA) molecules are approximately 80 nucleotides in length.
Source: Rfam by way of RNAcentral
GGAGAGGUGCUCGAGUGGUUGAAGAGGCACGCCUGGAAAGCGUGUAUACGCCAAAAGCGUAUCGGGGGUUCGAAUCCCUCUCUCUCCG